This is an RNA transcript of Diospyros lotus (date-plum), 1513 nucleotides long. It is a transcript of the gene named zinc finger CCCH domain-containing protein 1-like, with no coding region annotated. The record is from RefSeq and is a predicted model, not a curated record. Lineage: Eukaryota; Viridiplantae; Streptophyta; Magnoliopsida; Ericales; Ebenaceae. The transcript is spliced from 5 exons.
UAAAAUCACAAAUCAGACAUUGCGAAGAGCCCUAACCUCGCGCGCGCCUGAACCCCAACUGACGAACAGGUCCUCUGCCCUCUGGCCAUCGCCUCUCCGUUCGUCGGCGACUGUUACUGAGCUACGGCCUUUUGUUCUCUGUUCGUGGAAAGUAAACAAGUCUCAGAUCUGAUGCCUCUGUUGGUUCUCCAUACGUAGACAUUUGAAUCUUUUGUCCAGUUUUCAAUGGCAGACUCAAGCGAACCUCAACAACAGUCUGAAUCAGUCUGCAAUUUCUUCAGAAAGCCAGCAAAGAACAAAAAUAUCAGAAAACGUACAUUUGAUGAAGAUAACAAUGAAGAUGACGACUCUGGAAUUGGAAGUUCACUGCUACAAAAUAAGAAAAAGCCCCCAAGGCCUGACAAUAAGCUACAUUUCUCUACUGGAUCAUCCAAGCACUCGAUUUCCUCAGAGUUGAAUGCUGAGCCAAGUGCUCCAAUCUUUCAGUUUGAGUCCUCAAAAGAAAUCCAAGUUCAAAAUGAUAAUAAGGCAACUGCGACUCUGGAAACUGAAACUGAGUUCUCAAAAGAUGCUCGGGCAAUACGAGAGAGAGUUCUUAAGCGAGCGGAGGAGGCUUUAAAGGGGAAAAGCAAGAAUCCAGGGGAUGAAAAGUUGUAUAAAGGAAUUCAUGGGUAUACUGAUUAUAAAGCUGGCUUCAGAAGAGAACAAACAGUAUCUGCAGAGAAAGCUGGUGGUGCACAUGGACCUCUUAGGGCUUCUGCUCAUAUACGGGUCUCAGCUAGGUUUGACUACCAGCCAGAUAUUUGUAAGGAUUAUAAAGAGACUGGUUACUGUGGGUAUGGAGAUGCUUGUAAGUUUAUGCAUGACAGGGGGGAUUAUAAGUCAGGGUGGCAGUUAGAAAAGGAGUGGGAGGAAGCUGAAAAAGCAAGAAAGAGAAACUUGGCUUUGGGAGGUGAUGACAUGGAGGAGGAGGGUGCAGGUCAAAGUGAUGAAGAUGACGAUGAUCCAUUGCCCUUCGCAUGUUUCAUAUGUAGGCAGCCUUUUGUAGAUCCUGUUGUAACCAGAUGCAAACACUACUUUUGUGAGCAUUGUGCAUUAAAGCAUCACGCCAAGAACAAAAAAUGCUUCGUGUGCAACCAGCCCACCAUGGGCAUAUUCAACACCGCUCAUGAGAUAAAGAAAAGGAUGGCUGCUGCUGCUGCUGAGGGAAAGUAAUGCAUUUGGCUGACCAUAAAAUAAUAGCAUUUGGUUGUAAUGCAAUUGCAUCAUGUAGGAGACGGAGAGCGCGCAUCUCUUAUUUGAUCCACUUGUUGCAAAGAUCUGAACCAUCUGAUGAGGAGAAGAUGCCAAUGGACUGAAGGUCCUGGUUUUAGAGCAGCUUAUUCAAGAUUUACAAGUAAUACAUAGUUCACCAAAUACUCUAAGCACUCACAUAUUUAUGCGAUUUUAUGAUUCUACCCAUAAAUUUUGUACUUGGAAAAUAAGAAAGAUAUAAGAAGAAAAGACUCUCCUU